UUGGAGGGCAAGUCUGGUGCCAGCAGCCGCGGUAAUUCCAGCUCCAAUAGCGUAUAUUAAAGUUGUUGCAGUUAAAAAGCUCGUAGUUGAAUUUCGGGAUCAAUAUGUUGGUCGUGCCUUGGUACGUACUAAUUUAUUGGUUUCUUCCUUCUGACGAACCAUGAUGUCAUUAAUUUGGUGUCUUGGGGAAUCAGGACUGUUACUUUGAAAAAAUUAGAGUGUUUAAAGCAGGCUCACGCUUGAAUACAUUAGCAUGGAAUAAUGAAAUAGGACGUUUGAUUCUAUUUUGUUGGUUUCUAGGAUUGACGUAAUGAUUAAUAGGGAUAGUUGGGGGCAUUAGUAUUCAAUUGUCAGAGGUGAAAUUCUUGGAUUUAUUGAAGACUAACUACUGCGAAAGCAUUUGCCAAGGAUGUUUUCAUUAAUCAAGAACGAAAGUCAGGGGAUCGAAGACGAUCAGAUACCGUCGUAGUCUUAACCAUAAACUAUGCCGACUAGGGAUCGGAUGAUGUUAAUUUUUUAAUGACUCAUUCGGCGCCUUACGGGAAAC
Molecule: ribosomal RNA, 547 nt
Filed under: uncultured Glomeromycotina
Lineage: Eukaryota; Fungi; Glomeromycota
Description: SSU rRNA
Rfam family: Eukaryotic small subunit ribosomal RNA
Source: RNAcentral